GAUGAACGCUAGCGAUAGGCUUAACACAUGCAAGUCGAGGGGCAGCACAAGGUAGCUUGCUAUCUGGGUGGCGACCGGCGCACGGGUGCGUAACGCGUAUGCAACUUGCCCUAUACAGGAGGAUAACCCGUCGAAAGACGGACUAAUACUGCGUAUGCUCACAACUUGGCAUCAAGUGGUGAGGAAAGAAAUUCGGUAUAGGAUAGGCAUGCGUCCCAUUAGCUUGUUGGUGAGGUAACGGCUCACCAAGGCAACGAUGGGUAGGGGAACUGAGAGGUUUAUCCCCGACACGGGUACUGAGACACGGACCAGACUCAUACGGGAGGCAGCAGUGAGGAAUAUUGGUCAAUGGGCGCGAGCCUGAACCAGCCAAGUCGCGUGAAGGAUGACUGUGUUAUGGAUUGUAAACUUCUUUUAUACGGGAAUAACAAGAGUCACGUGUGACUCCCUGCAUGUACCGGAUGAAUAAGCAUCGGCUAACUCCGUG
RNAcentral lists this ribosomal RNA (487 nucleotides) under uncultured bacterium. RNAcentral describes it as "partial 16S ribosomal RNA". It matches the Rfam family "Bacterial small subunit ribosomal RNA", at positions 28 to 507 of the family's 1533-position model. The record is from RNAcentral.